RNAcentral lists this ribosomal RNA (468 nucleotides) under uncultured bacterium. RNAcentral's name for it is "partial 16S ribosomal RNA". It matches the Rfam family "Bacterial small subunit ribosomal RNA", at positions 28 to 507 of the family's 1533-position model. The record is from RNAcentral.
GAUGAACGCUGGCGGCGUGCUUAACACAUGCAAGUCGAACGGAAAGGCCCUGCUUUUGUGGGGUGCUCGAGUGGCGAACGGGUGAGUAACACGUGAGUAACCUGCCCUUGACUUUGGGAUAACUUCAGGAAGCUGGGGCUAAUACCGGAUAGGAGCUCCUGCUGCAUGGUGGGGGUUGGAAAGUUUCGGCGGUUGGGGAUGGACUCGCGGCUUAUCAGCUUGUUGGUGGGGUAGUGGCUUACCAAGGCUUUGACGGGUAGCCGGCCUGAGAGGGUGACCGGCCACAUUGGGACUGAGAUACGGCCCAGACUCCUACGGGAGGCAGCAGUGGGGAAUAUUGCACAAUGGGCGGAAGCCUGAUGCAGCAACGCCGCGUGCGGGAUGACGGCCUUCGGGUUGUAAACCGCUUUCGCCUGUGACGAAGCGUGAGUGACGGUAAUGGGUAAAGAAGCACCGGCUAACUACGUG